GAUGAACGCUGGCGGCGUGCCUAAUACAUGCAAGUCGAGCGAACGGACGAGAAGCUUGCUUCUCUGAUGUUAGCGGCGGACGGGUGAGUAACACGUGGAUAACCUACCUAUAAGACUGGGAUAACUUCGGGAAACCGGAGCUAAUACCGGAUAAUAUUUUGAACCGCAUGGUUCAAAAGUGAAAGACGGUCUUGCUGUCACUUAUAGAUGGAUCCGCGCUGCAUUAGCUAGUUGGUAAGGUAACGGCUUACCAAGGCAUCGAUGCAUAGCCGACCUGAGAGGGUGAUCGGCCACACUGGAACUGAGACACGGUCCAGACUCCCACGGGAGGCAGCAGUAGGGAAUCUUCCGCAAUGGGCGAAAGCCUGACGGAGCAACGCCGCGUGAGUGAUGAAGGUCUUCGGAUCGUAAAACUCUGUUAUUAGGGAAGAACAUAUGUGUAAGUAACUGUGCACAUCUUGACGGUACCUAAUCAGAAAGCCACGGCUAACUACGUG
Molecule: ribosomal RNA, 497 nt
Filed under: uncultured bacterium
Lineage: Bacteria
Description: partial 16S ribosomal RNA
Rfam family: Bacterial small subunit ribosomal RNA
Source: RNAcentral